UACGGGGGGGGGCAAGCGUUGUUCGGAAUUACUGGGCGUAAAGGGCUCGUAGGCGGCCAACUAAGUCAGACGUGAAAUCCCUCGGCUUAACCGGGGAACUGCGUCUGAUACUGGAUGGCUUGAGUUUGGGAGAGGGAUGCGGAAUUCCAGGUGUAGCGGUGAAAUGCGUAGAUAUCGUAAGGAAGACCAGUGGCGAAGGCGGGUCUCUGGACAGUUCCUGACGCUGAGGCACGAAGGCCAGGGGAGCAAACAGG
This 254-nucleotide ribosomal RNA is filed under the name uncultured bacterium. Its description in RNAcentral is "partial 16S ribosomal RNA". It matches the Rfam family "Bacterial small subunit ribosomal RNA", at positions 524 to 776 of the family's 1533-position model. The record is from RNAcentral.